CUCAGAGCCUGCAGCUCCCAAGGCAGCUGAACACGAUGAGCACCCAGCAGUGAAACCACUGACACUGGCUCCUGCAUGAACCCAUCCCCACCCAGAGAGGAUCCCAGACCAUGUGUGCUCAGCUACAUAAAGCUCAGCUAUCUGCCCUAAGCUUUAAAGGAAUUUGCCCGGGGGAAGAAGACAGCUGCUGCCCUGAUGAGGGAUUUUUCUGAGCAGGCCUCCCGAGCCAGACAUGUCAGUGUGAGAUGCUGCCCACGUUUUUCAUCGUGACCAACAGCUCAGAUGUCCUCCUGCUGCAUUUCUCCUCAUUCAUCUCAUGGCUGAUGGCAGCCCUGCCAUCAACAGCAGCCCAAAUGCUUUGGGCAGAAGUUACAGUUCCACUAGUUUUUGCUCCUAAACUACAACAAGUGUUUAACAAAAUCUGACUCAGAAUGACCUCACUCUCUCCAGCCCUGUCCAUCUCCCACAUCCCACAUCAACAGGAUGAUUGAUUUGGAAAGAGUGAGCCAAAGGCAGAUAUUAGCAUUUGGCUCCUUGGUAACUCUUAUUCAAUCAAUACAUGUUUUACAUUUUAGGUCCCAGUGGCAGGAUGAUCAGAACAAAUUAGAAAAUCUCAGGUGGAAUAAACCUAAUGGCUGUGGAACA
Molecule: long non-coding RNA, 645 nt
Filed under: Cyanistes caeruleus (blue tit)
Lineage: Eukaryota; Metazoa; Chordata; Aves; Passeriformes; Paridae
Description: lncRNA (ENSCCEG00000019434.1)
Source: RNAcentral